Molecule: transfer RNA, 73 nt
Filed under: Camelus bactrianus (Bactrian camel)
Lineage: Eukaryota; Metazoa; Chordata; Mammalia; Artiodactyla; Camelidae
Also listed under: 2 other names
Rfam family: tRNA
About the family: Transfer RNA (tRNA) molecules are approximately 80 nucleotides in length. Their secondary structure includes four short double-helical elements and three loops (D, anti-codon, and T loops).
Source: Rfam by way of RNAcentral
GAGAGUAUAGCUCAGUGGCAGAGGACAUGCCUAGCAUGCAUAGAGGUCCUGGGUUCAAUUCCCAGUACCUUCA